CCAGUGAGCGGCGGCGGUGUCACCUCGGAUGUCCUUGCCCAUCACGUGACGAGAUUGAAACAACCCAAACCAAAACAGAAAAAAAGGGACCUCAUUAUGGUAUCCUUCAAUAAAAACUACAGAAAUAAAAGGAGGAGGAAAAGAUGAUGAGAAGAGAAGAAGUAGUCCUAUUAUCGCCGUAACCACUACCAUCAACACCUUCACCACUACCGCCUCCACUUCAACCACCACCACCACCACCACCACCACCACCUCCAGUGACCUCCAGACGUCAUUGUGAACUUUCCGUGCUCCACCCCUCCCACGCACCCGUCACGCCGCCCGCCCGUCACGCCCACCACCUUCGCGGGAGGCGACAGGUGUUACGAGGGGACCCGCUCCUCCCGUCCCCUGCACCCCGCCCUUCCCCCACCGCCUCCACCACCA
Long non-coding RNA from Eriocheir sinensis (Chinese mitten crab), 426 nucleotides. RefSeq lists it as uncharacterized. The transcript has 3 exons. The record is from RefSeq and is a predicted model, not a curated record. Lineage: Eukaryota; Metazoa; Arthropoda; Malacostraca; Decapoda; Varunidae.